AUUCAGCUGAUGAUUCGCAGAUGAGACGAAACGCGCGUCCUCGAU
This is a non-coding RNA of Schistosoma mattheei, 45 nucleotides long. The record is from Rfam. Lineage: Eukaryota; Metazoa; Platyhelminthes; Trematoda; Strigeidida; Schistosomatidae.